This 440-nucleotide ribosomal RNA is filed under the name uncultured bacterium. RNAcentral's name for it is "partial 16S ribosomal RNA". It matches the Rfam family "Bacterial small subunit ribosomal RNA", at positions 338 to 795 of the family's 1533-position model. The record is from RNAcentral.
CCUACGGGGGGCAGCAGUGGGGGAUAUUGCACAAUGGAGGGAACUCUGAUGCAGCGACGCCGCGUGAGGGAAGAAGGUUUUCGGAUUGUAAACCUCUUUCUUCGGUGACGAAACGAGACGGUAGCCGAGGCGGAAGCCACGGCUAACUACGUGCCCGCAGCCGCGGUAAUACGGAGGUGGCAAGCGUUGUCCGGAAUUACGGGGUGUAAAGGGAGCGUAGGCGGGAAAGCAAGUGGAGUGUUUAAGGUACUGGCUCAACCUGUACAAGCGUUCAAAACUGUUUGUCUUGAGUACUGGAGAGGCAGGCGGAAUGCGUAGUGUAGCGGUGAAAUGCGUAGAUAUUAGGAGGAACACCAGUGGCGAAGGCGGUCUGCUGGACAGCCACUGACGCUGAGGCGCGAAAGCGUGGGGAGCAAACAGGAUUAGAUACCCCGGUAGUC